GACGAACGCUGGCGGCGUGCUUAACACAUGCAAGUCGAACGGAAAGGCCCUGCUUUUGUGGGGUGCUCGAGUGGCGAACGGGUGAGUAACACGCGAGUAACCUGCCCUUGUCUUUGGGAUAACUUCAGGAAACUGGGGCUAAUACCGGAUAGGAGCUCCUGCUGCAUGGGGGGGGUUGGAAAGUUUCGGCGGUUGGGGAUGGAUUCGCGGCUUAUCAGCUUGUUGGUGGGGUAGUGGCUUACCAAGGCUUUGACGGGUAGCCGGCCUGAGAGGGUGACCGGGGUCCUUAGGCCUACGGGACGGAGCAGACGGGUACGUGCCGCAACAGGCGAGAGUCUUGCACAGCGGCGGCACGUGAGAGGUGGCGGCGCUGCGUGCGUGAAGACGGGUUUUGGGUGAAGAACCGCUUUCGACGUAGACAUGGCCGGAGUGACGGUAAUGGGUAAAGAAGCACCGGCUAACUACGUG
Molecule: ribosomal RNA, 468 nt
Filed under: uncultured bacterium
Lineage: Bacteria
Description: partial 16S ribosomal RNA
Rfam family: Bacterial small subunit ribosomal RNA
Source: RNAcentral